GGGGCUGAUUCUGGAUUCGACGGGAUUCGCGAAACCCAAGGUGCAUGCCGAGGUGCGGUGGCCUCGUAAAAAACCGCAAAAAAAUAGUCGCAAACGACGAAAACUACGCACUAGCAGCUUAAUACCCUGCUUAGAGCCCUCUCUCCCUAGCCUCCGCUCUUAGGACGGGGAUCAAGAGAGGUCAAACCUAAAAGAGCUCGUGUGGAAACCUUGCCUGGGGUGGAAGCAUUAAAACUAAUCAGGAUAGUUUGUCAGUGGCGUGUCCAUCCGCAGCUGGCCGGCGAAUGUAAUGAUUGGACUAAGCAUGUAGUACCGACGGUGUAGUAAUUUCGGACGGGGGUUCAAAUCCCCCCAGCUCCACCA
RNAcentral lists this transfer-messenger RNA (363 nucleotides) under Yersinia frederiksenii. RNAcentral describes it as "transfer-messenger RNA%2C SsrA". It matches the Rfam family "transfer-messenger RNA". Rfam says of the family: Bacterial tmRNA, also known as 10Sa RNA or SsrA, is named for its dual tRNA and mRNA-like properties. Its role is to liberate the mRNA from a stalled ribosome. Lineage: Bacteria; Pseudomonadati; Pseudomonadota; Gammaproteobacteria; Enterobacterales; Yersiniaceae. The record is from RNAcentral. RNAcentral also lists the same sequence under 2 other names.